UCCCGCGUCGUCUAACGGUAGGACAACUGACUCUGGAUCAGUUUAUCGUGGUUCGAAUCCAUGCGCGGGAGCCA
RNAcentral lists this transfer RNA (74 nucleotides) under bacterium. RNAcentral describes it as "tRNA-Gln". It matches the Rfam family "tRNA". From Rfam's summary of the family: Transfer RNA (tRNA) molecules are approximately 80 nucleotides in length. The record is from RNAcentral.